GAUGAACGCUGGCGGCGUGCUUAACACAUGCAAGUCGAACGGACUUUUAAUGAAGCCUAGCGAUUUAAAAGUUAGUGGCGGACGGGUGAGUAACGCGUGGGUAACCUGCCUUAUACAGGGGGAUAACACUUAGAAAUAGGUGCUAAUACCGCAUAAGCGCACAGUAUCGCAUGAUACAGUGUGAAAAACUCCGGUGGUAUAAGAUGGACCCGCGUCUGAUUAGCUAGUUGGUGGGGUAAUGGCUCACCAAGGCGACGAUACGUAGGGGGACUGAGAGGUUAACCCCCCACAUUGGUACUGAGACACGGACCAAACUCCUACGGGAGGCAGCAGUGAGGAAUAUUGGUCAAUGGACGCAAGUCUGAACCAGCCAUGCCGCGUGCAGGAAGACGGCUCUAUGAGUUGUAAACUGCUUUUGUAUGAGGGUAAAAUUAGGUACGUGUACCUAACUGAAAGUAUCAUACGAAUAAGGAUCGGCUAAACUCCGUG
This 489-nucleotide ribosomal RNA is filed under the name uncultured bacterium. RNAcentral describes it as "bacterial SSU rRNA". It matches the Rfam family "Bacterial small subunit ribosomal RNA", at positions 28 to 507 of the family's 1533-position model. The record is from RNAcentral.